This 491-nucleotide ribosomal RNA is filed under the name uncultured bacterium. Its description in RNAcentral is "partial 16S ribosomal RNA". It matches the Rfam family "Bacterial small subunit ribosomal RNA", at positions 29 to 506 of the family's 1533-position model. The record is from RNAcentral.
AGUGAACGCUGGCGGUAGGCCUAACACAUGCAAGUCGAACGGCAGCACAGUAAGAGCUUGCUCUUACGGGUGGCGAGUGGCGGACGGGUGAGGAAUACAUCGGAAUCUACUUUUUCGUGGGGGAUAACGUAGGGAAACUUACGCUAAUACCGCAUACGACCUACGGGUGAAAGCAGGGGAUCUUCGGACCUUGCGCGAUUGAAUGAGCCGAUGUCGGAUUAGCUAGUUGGCGGGGUAAAGGCCCACCAAGGCGACGAUCCGUAGCUGGUCUGAGAGGAUGAUCAGCCACACUGGAACUGAGACACGGUCCAGACUCCUACGGGAGGCAGAAGUGGGGAAUAUUGGACAAUGGGCGCAAGCCUGAUCCAGCCAUACCGCGUGGGUGAAGAAGGCCUUCGGGUUGUAAAGCCCUUUUGUUGGGAAAGAAAAGCAGCAGGUUAAUACCCCGCUGUUCUGACGGUACCCAAAGAAUAAACACCGGCUAACUUCGU